GGACCUGACUGUUAUCGGAUUGAUACUAAGCCAUGCGAGUCAUUGUAGCAAUACAAGGCAUACGGCUCAGUAACGCGUAGUCAACCUAACCUAUGGACGGGAAUAACCUCGGGAAACUGAGAAUAAUGCCCGAUAGAACAUUAUGCCUGGAAUGGUUUAUGUUCCAAAUGAUUUAUCGCCGUAGGAUGGGACUGCGGCCUAUCAGUUUGUUGGUGAGGUAAUGGCCCACCAAGACUAUUACAGGUACGGGCUCUGAGAGGAGUAGCCCGGAGAUGGGUACUGAGACACGGACCCAGGCCCUAUGGGGCGCAGCAGGCGAGAAAACUUUGCAAUGUGCGAAAGCACGACAAGGUUAAUCCGAGUGGUUUCUGCUAAAGAAACCUUUUGUCAGUCCUAGAAACACUGAUGAAUAAGGGGUGGGCAAGUUCUGGUGUCAGAC
This 439-nucleotide ribosomal RNA is filed under the name uncultured archaeon. Its description in RNAcentral is "bacterial SSU rRNA". It matches the Rfam family "Archaeal small subunit ribosomal RNA", at positions 19 to 463 of the family's 1478-position model. The record is from RNAcentral.